UGAAGGCCUUCGGGUUGUAAAGCUCUUUCGCCUGGGAACAAGGAAAAUUAGCUAAUACCUAAUAACUUGAGGGUACCAGGUAAAGAAGCACCGGCUAACUCCGUGC
This 106-nucleotide ribosomal RNA is filed under the name uncultured bacterium. RNAcentral describes it as "partial 16S ribosomal RNA". It matches the Rfam family "Bacterial small subunit ribosomal RNA", at positions 409 to 508 of the family's 1533-position model. The record is from RNAcentral.